UGGUAGUNCACGCCGUAAACGAUGAGUGCUAGGUGUUAGACCCUUUCCGNGGUUUAGUGCCGCAGCUAACGCAUUAAGCACUCCGCCUGGGGAGUACGACCGCAAGGUUGAAACUCAAAGGAAUUGACGGGGGCCCGCACAAGCGGUGGAGCAUGUGGUUUAAUUCGAAGCAACGCGAAGAACCUUACCAGGUCUUGACAUCCCUCUGACCGCUCUAGAGAUAGAGUUUUCCUUCGGGACAGAGGUGACAGGUGGUGCAUGGUUGUCGUCAGCUCGUGUCGUGAGAUGUUGGGUUAAGUNNNNCAACGAGCGCAACCCCUAUUGUUAGUUGCCAUCAUUCAGUUGGGCACUCUAGCGAGACUGCCGGUAAUAAACCGGAGGAAGGUGGGGAUGACGUCAAAUCAUCAUGCCCCUUAUGACCUGGGCUACACACGUGCUACAAUGGCUGGUACAACGAGUCGCAAGCCGGUGACGGCGAGCUAAUCUCUUAAAGCCAGUCUCAGUUCGGAUUGUAGGCUGCAACU
Molecule: ribosomal RNA, 524 nt
Filed under: uncultured bacterium
Lineage: Bacteria
Description: bacterial SSU rRNA
Rfam family: Bacterial small subunit ribosomal RNA
Source: RNAcentral